Molecule: ribosomal RNA, 253 nt
Filed under: uncultured bacterium
Lineage: Bacteria
Description: partial 16S ribosomal RNA
Rfam family: Bacterial small subunit ribosomal RNA
Source: RNAcentral
UACGUAGGGGGCUAGCGUUGUCCGGAUUUAUUGGGCGUAAAGAGCGUGUAGACGGCCAUGUAGGUCCGGUGUGAAAACUCGAGGCUUAACCUCGAGAUGUCAUCGGAAACCAUUUGGCUAGAGUCCGGAAGAGGAGAGUGGAAUUCCUGGUGUAGCGGUGAAAUGCGCAGAUAUCGUAAGGAAGACCAGUGGCGAAGGCGGGUCUCUGGACAGUUCCUGACGCUGAGGCACGAAGGUCAGGGGAGCAAACGGG